This is a long non-coding RNA of Chenopodium quinoa (quinoa), 1162 nucleotides long. RefSeq lists it as uncharacterized. The transcript has 5 exons. The record is from RefSeq and is a predicted model, not a curated record. NCBI's taxonomy places the organism in Eukaryota, Viridiplantae, Streptophyta, Magnoliopsida, Caryophyllales, Amaranthaceae.
AACUCCUUCUCUCUCCUUCGAUCUCCUUCUCCAUAACCGCCACUUUCCUUUUCCUUUCUUCUCUCUUUCUACAAUAUUGGUGGUUAGGGUUUCUGGGUUCGUCUAUCUUGAAUUAAAUCGAUGUUCGUGCGUCUUCAACAACAACAAAUUUGAAUCAAUUUCGAACCAAAAAUCAGAAAUUCGAGCUUCCAAGUGUAGAAAUAGGUUCACAGUUCAUUAUUUUCACUCAUGUAACGAUGGAAUCAGACAAGUACAUUUGUGUGAGAGAGACCUCGCCUUAGAACAGCGUUGUUAUUAUUGACAUGAACAUGCCUAAUCAACCUUUGAGGCGUCCCAUCACGGCUGAUUCUGUUUUGAUGAACCCUAACUCGAGAAUUCUUUCUCUUAAAGGUUGCUCUUCCUCAAGGAAUCGUACCAUUUGUCUUCGCUAAGGAGUACAAUGUCCAUCCCGAUAUCCUCAGCACAGCAUAUAUGUACCAACCAACCCGCGUGGUGCUGAGAUGUUACCUCCAGGAAUUGUAGUAGGAGAAAGUGAUUUUUUUCUUCGAAUAUUGUGGGGUGAACCGAGUGAGGAUUUGAAAAAGAAGCCAAAAUACUUGGUAACUUUCACUGUUGGAUUAGCUCAGAGGGACAACAUUAAUAGUGGCUAUUUUCUACAAGCAAAAACCAUGUUAUUAAUGUCUUGUCCUCCCCAUAUACAAUAUGUGUGUGUGUGUGUCUAUGUGUGUGUGUGUGUGUGUGUGUGUGUUUAGCAGCUUUGACAGGUAAAACAACAGCAACAGCCAGCACCAGGCAGGCACAGCACCACCAGACAACAGCUAACAACUAGCAGAUAGCCAACAGGCUUUGCAAAACCAGUUCAGCAACCAAACAGCAGCAUCACAGCAGCUGAAAGAGCAGGCAACAAAAUUAGCAGCCUGAACCAGCACACACCAGCUAGAGCCUAAGCAGCUAGAAACAGAAAGCAGUAGCCAGCAACAGCUAAACACACCCUGCAAACAAAAACCAGCAACCAGACACAAAGCAAGCAACACAGGCAAUAGAAAACAGCAGCUUACAAAAGGAAAGUUGACCUGGCUGUUAAAUCAAGGGCUCUACUUCUCCAGACCUUGAUUCUGUAUUUUUUUUUCUUCAGUUUUUUAAAGUGUAAUAUUACAAUUUA